RNAcentral lists this ribosomal RNA (399 nucleotides) under uncultured bacterium. Its description in RNAcentral is "bacterial SSU rRNA". It matches the Rfam family "Bacterial small subunit ribosomal RNA", at positions 976 to 1374 of the family's 1533-position model. The record is from RNAcentral.
UGGGCUUGACAUCCCGAGAAUCCCCUGGAAACAGGGGAGUGCCCUUCGGGGAACUCGGAGACAGGUGCUGCAUGGCUGUCGUCAGCUCGUGUCGUGAGAUGUUGGGUUAAGUCCCGCAACGAGCGCAACCCUUGUCUUUAAUUGCCAUCAUUAAGUUGGGCACUUUAGAGAGACUGCCGGCGUUAAACCGGAGGAAGGUGGGGAUGACGUCAAGUCCUCAUGGCCUUUAUGCCCGGGGCUACACACGUGCUACAAUGGGUGGUACAAAGAGCAGCGAGCUCGCGAGAGUAAGCGAAUCUCAAAAAGCCAUCCUCAGUUCGGAUUGAAGUCUGCAACCCGACUUCAUGAAGUUGGAAUCGCUAGUAAUCGCGGAUCAGCAUGCCGCGGUGAAUACGUUCC